GUGCCCUACGGGAGGCAGCAGUGGGGAAUAUUGCACAAUGGGCGCAAGCCUGAUGCAGCGACGCCGCGUGCGGGAUGGAGGCCUUCGGGUUGUAAACCGCUUUUGUUCAAGGGCAAGGUACGGUCUUUGGCCGUGUCGAGUGGAUUGUUCGAAUAAGCACCGGCUAACUACGUGCCAGCAGCCGCGGUAAUACGUAGGGUGCAAGCGUUAUCCGGAUUUAUUGGGCGUAAAGGGCUCGUAGGCGGUUCGUCGCGUCCGGUGUGAAAGUCCAUCGCUUAACGGGGGACCC
RNAcentral lists this ribosomal RNA (289 nucleotides) under uncultured bacterium. RNAcentral describes it as "partial 16S ribosomal RNA". It matches the Rfam family "Bacterial small subunit ribosomal RNA", at positions 334 to 622 of the family's 1533-position model. The record is from RNAcentral.